AUUGAACGCUGGCGGCAUGCUUUACACAUGCAAGUCGAACGGCAGCACGGGGGCAACCCUGGUGGCGAGUGGCGAACGGGUGAGUAAUGCAUCGGAACGUGUCCUCUUGUGGGGGAUAACCAGUCGAAAGACUGGCUAAUACCGCAUGAGAUCGAAAGAUGAAAGCGGGGGACCGCAAGGCCUCGCGCGAGAGGAGCGGCCGAUGCCGGAUUAGCUAGUUGGUGGGGUAAUGGCCCACCAAGGCGACGAUCCGUAGCUGGUCUGAGAGGACGACCAGCCACACUGGGACUGAGACACGGCCCAGACUCCUACGGGAGGCAGCAGUGGGGAAUUUUGGACAAUGGGCGCAAGCCUGAUCCAGCCAUGCCGCGUGUGUGAAGAAGGCCUUCGGGUUGUAAAGCACUUUCGGACGGAACGAAAUCGCGCGUACGAAUAUUGCGCGUGGAUGACGGUACCGUAAGAAGAAGCACCGGCUAACUACGUGCCAGCAGCCGCGGUAAUACGUAGGAUGCAAGCGUUAAUCAGAAUUACUGGGCGUAAAGGGUGCGCAGGCGGCCCCGCGUGUCAGGCGUGAAAUCCCCGGGCUCAACCUGGGAAUGGCGCUUGAAACUACGG
Molecule: ribosomal RNA, 615 nt
Filed under: uncultured bacterium
Lineage: Bacteria
Description: bacterial SSU rRNA
Rfam family: Bacterial small subunit ribosomal RNA
Source: RNAcentral